AGCGUAAUAGCUCACUGGUCGAGUCGGCCUGCGCGGAAGAUGUAACGGGGCUAAACCAUGCACCGAAGCUGCGGCAGCGACACUAUGUGUUGUUGGGUAGGGGAGCGUUCUGUAAGCCUGUGAAGGUAGCCUGUGAGGGUUGCUGGAGGUAUCAGAAGUGCGAAUGCUGACAUAAGUAACGAUAAAGCGGGUGAAAAGCCCGCUCGCCGGAAGACCAAGGGUUCCUGUCCAACGUUAAUCGGGGCAGGGUGAGUCGACCCCUAAGGCGAGGCCGAAAGGCGUAGUCGAUGGGAAACAGGUUAAUAUUCCUGUACUUGGUGUUACUGCGAAGGGGGGACGGAGAAGGCUAUGUUGGCCGGGCGACGGUUGUCCCGGUUUAAGCGUGUAGGCUGGUUUUCCAGGCAAAUCCGGAAAACCAAGGCUGAGGCGUGAUGACGAGGCACUACGGUGCUGAAGCGACAAAUGCCCUGCUUCCAGGAAAAGCCUCUAAGCAUCAGGUAACAUCAAAUCGUACCCCAAACCGACACAGGUGGUCAGGUAGAGAAUACCAAGGCGCUUGAGAGAACUCGGGUGAAGGAACUAGG
This 584-nucleotide ribosomal RNA is filed under the name Escherichia coli. RNAcentral describes it as "partial 23S ribosomal RNA". It matches the Rfam family "Bacterial large subunit ribosomal RNA", at positions 1131 to 1717 of the family's 2925-position model. Lineage: Bacteria; Pseudomonadati; Pseudomonadota; Gammaproteobacteria; Enterobacterales; Enterobacteriaceae. The record is from RNAcentral.